RNAcentral lists this transfer RNA (56 nucleotides) under Rhinebothrium scobinae. RNAcentral's name for it is "tRNA-Arg". Lineage: Eukaryota; Metazoa; Platyhelminthes; Cestoda; Rhinebothriidea; Rhinebothriidae. The record is from RNAcentral.
GAUAUAAUUUUGUCUAUGUUACGGCCAUAGAAAUGAUGGAAACCUAUCUUAUAUCU